RNAcentral lists this long non-coding RNA (1417 nucleotides) under Solanum tuberosum (potato). Its description in RNAcentral is "long non-coding RNA (STUB_LNC010769)". The record is from RNAcentral. Lineage: Eukaryota; Viridiplantae; Streptophyta; Magnoliopsida; Solanales; Solanaceae.
CCCUUGCGGCUUCUCCUUCGACCUGUAUCAGUAGGUCAGCUCACAGAUUGAAUAAUUUCUUGCUCAUUGGAUUCAGGGCUUCUUUAGACUGUGAAAAUGACAACUCUUCCUGAGACAAUAUUGAAAGUUGAGGAUCAGAUGAUGAACUGGGGAGUCAAAUAUUGUUUUUUAGCAAAAUAACUUAGCACUAACAUGGAUAAGAAAGUAACUUUGUCAUACACAUUUAAGAAAGAGAUAAGCUCUCUCUCUCUCUCUCACAGACACACAUAAAUAUAUAUGCCAUCGAACAAUAUUGGUCAUGUUUCAAUCUUGCNNNNNNNNNNNNNNNNNNAUAGCUAUAUAUAUAUAUAUGCCAUCGAACAAUAUUGGUCAUGUUUCAAUCUUGCCUCUUUGGAGGCAAAGUACAAAGUGAGUGAUGAAGAUGAGGUUGAGGGGAGAGAAAACAGCAAUAUCCUGAAAUUGCCUUUUCUUACUACACGACAAGAAAACAGAGAGCAAUAACAUUUAUUUAGAGAUGAGUAUUAGAAAAGACAAUAAAAUAGUUGAAAGACCUUCCCGUGAAUUCACAUCAACAUUGUCGUAAGAUAUAUGUGCAUGAGUGAAUUUCUUUGGCUUUACCAGUAUUUAGAUACUUCGUCAUCACGUUUUUGCCAAGUGAGCCAAACCGAUGGAUAUUUCAAAGGAGCAUGGCCUCAAAUUUAAUUUAAUCGGUCAAUAGUAUUUGUAAAAAAAAAUUUGACCAAAACGCAGAGCAAUAAUGAACCCCAACCAACUAAAAAAUGUAGAAAGAGUUUGGCAAAACUGCAGCAGUCCUUAAGCCUGAACUUUUGCCUAAAGUACGACAUUUAUAAUAGGAAUUUUUUUGACGAUAUGGUUAAGUUAAAAGUGCAGUGAAGUUUAGCUCAACACAUAGCAACCAUUGGUUCAAAUUUUGCCAAAAGUAUAGUAAGUAUAGUAAAUAACUUAGUCCAAAAUUCAGCAGCAGUAAAAGAAAAAAUACAACAACCCGGGGCUUAGAAUACAUGACAAAAUGGAGAAGCAAAGGGCAAAAAAUGUAGCAGUGAUUCGAGGUAACGAUAAACAUGCCAAACAGAAGUUAUUCUAGUAAGGUUGUUUCACUGUUAGCCUGAACAGAUUGUAGCAGAAAAAUGGUGAAAGUUCUAACCUGUCUCAUUCCAGCCUUGAGGCAGCUUUCCUAUCCCCAUCUGUUUACCUCAAGUCGACAGCUCCAAAAUGGAAGAGAACUCUGCAAUGUUAGUGCUAUCCUGACAGAGCAUUUGCUUCCAACAGCUUGCUCAAACAUGUCGGGCAGUUCCUAUGCUAAUGCAGUGAGCCUCAAGUCCAUCACUUGCAAUAAUAGAUACUAUAUCUUGGAAGCAUUUGACAAAGAAAUGUUAUGAUCAUCCUAGAGAGAAAU